This 279-nucleotide ribosomal RNA is filed under the name uncultured bacterium. Its description in RNAcentral is "partial 16S ribosomal RNA". It matches the Rfam family "Bacterial small subunit ribosomal RNA", at positions 506 to 784 of the family's 1533-position model. The record is from RNAcentral.
UGCCAGCAGCCGCGGUAAUACGGAAGGUGCGAGCGUUAAUCGGAAUUACUGGGCGUAAAGGGAGCGUAGGCGGCGUGGUAAGUCAGAUGUGAAACUCCGGGGCUCAACCUCGGAACUGCAUCCGAUACUGCCAUGCUAGAGUGGUGGAGGGGCAUCUGGAAUUCACGGUGUAGCAGUGAAAUGCGUAGAUAUCGUGAGGAACACUAGUGGCGAAGGCGAGAUGCUGGACACCUACUGACGCUGAGGCUCGAAGGCCAGGCUAGCGAAAGGGAUUAGAUA